This 964-nucleotide ribosomal RNA is filed under the name uncultured marine bacterium. RNAcentral describes it as "bacterial SSU rRNA". It matches the Rfam family "Bacterial small subunit ribosomal RNA", at positions 55 to 1017 of the family's 1533-position model. The record is from RNAcentral.
AUGCAGUCGAACGGUAACAUUUCUAGCUUGCUAGAAGAUGACGAGUGGCGGACGGGUGAGUAAUGCUUGGGAACUUGCCUUUGCGAGGGGGAUAACAGUUGGAAACGACUGCUAAUACCGCAUAAUGUCUUCGGACCAAACGGGGCUUCGGCUCCGGCGCAAAGAGAGGCCCAAGUGAGAUUAGCUAGUUGGUAAGGUAACGGCUUACCAAGGCGACGAUCUCUAGCUGUUCUGAGAGGAAGAUCAGCCACACUGGGACUGAGACACGGCCCAGACUCCUACGGGAGGCAGCAGUGGGGAAUAUUGCACAAUGGGGGAAACCCUGAUGCAGCCAUGCCGCGUGUGUGAAGAAGGCCUUCGGGUUGUAAAGCACUUUCAGUUGUGAGGAAAAGUUAGUAGUUAAUACCUGCUAACCGUGACGUUAACAACAGAAGAAGCACCGGCUAACUCCGUGCCAGCAGCCGCGGUAAUACGGAGGGUGCGAGCGUUAAUCGGAAUUACUGGGCGUAAAGCGCACGCAGGCGGUUUGUUAAGCUAGAUGUGAAAGCCCCGGGCUCAACCUGGGAUGGUCAUUUAGAACUGGCAGACUAGAGUCUUGGAGAGGGGAGUGGAAUUCCAGGUGUAGCGGUGAAAUGCGUAGAUAUCUGGAGGAACAUCAGUGGCGAAGGCGACUCCCUGGCCAAAGACUGACGCUCAUGUGCGAAAGUGUGGGUAGCGAACAGGAUUAGAUACCCUGGUAGUCCACACCGUAAACGCUGUCUACUAGCUGUGUGUGCCUUUAAGGCGUGCGUAGCGAAGCUAACGCGCUAAGUAGACCGCCUGGGGAGUACGGCCGCAAGGUUAAAACUCAAAUGAAUUGACGGGGGCCCGCACAAGCGGUGGAGCAUGUGGUUUAAUUCGAUGCAACGCGAAGAACCUUACCUACACUUGACAUGCAGAGAACUUUCUAGAGAUAGAUUGGUGC